This 426-nucleotide ribosomal RNA is filed under the name uncultured bacterium. RNAcentral's name for it is "bacterial SSU rRNA". It matches the Rfam family "Bacterial small subunit ribosomal RNA", at positions 359 to 776 of the family's 1533-position model. The record is from RNAcentral.
GAAUCUUGCGCAAUGGCCGAAAGGCUGACGCAGCGACGCCGCGUGCGGGAGGAAGCUCUUCGGGGUGUAAACCGCUGUCAGGAGGGACGAAGGUCCGGGGGAGGAAAUGCCUUCGGGCUGACGGUACCUCCAGCGGAAGCGCCGGCUAACCCCGUGCAAGCAGCCGCGGGAAUACGGAGGGCGCGAGCGUUGUUCGGAAUUAUUGGGCGUAAAGCGCACGUAGGCGGCUCGGUAAGUCUCACUGUGAAAGCCCGGGGCUCAACCCCGGGAGGCCAGGGGAUACUGUCGAGCUGGAGACAGGCAGAGGCUGGUGGAAUUCCGGGUGUAGCGGUGGAAUGCGUAGAGAUCCGGAGGAACACCUGAGGCGAAGGCGGCCAGCUGGGCCUGAUCUGACGCUGAGGUGCGAAAGCGUGGGGAGCGAACAGG